CCCUUAGAUGUCCUGGGCCGCACGCGCGUUACACUGAUGCAUUCAACGAGCUUAUAACCUUGGCCGAGAGGCCUGGGCAAUCUUGUUAACGUGCAUCGUGAUAGGGAUAGAUUAUUGAAAUUAUUAAUCUUGAACGAGGAAUUCCUAGUAAACGCAGAUCAUCAAUCUGCAUUGAUUACGUCCCUGCCCUUUGUACACACCGCCCGUCGCACCUACCGAUUGGAUGGUCCGAUGAAGCCUCGGGAUUGUGGUUCUUGCCGCUUUAUUGUGGCGUGACCGCGAGAACUUAUCUAAACCUUAUCAUCUAGAGGAAGGUGAAGUCGUAACA
This 328-nucleotide ribosomal RNA is filed under the name uncultured eukaryote. RNAcentral describes it as "partial 18S ribosomal RNA". It matches the Rfam family "Eukaryotic small subunit ribosomal RNA", at positions 1470 to 1796 of the family's 1831-position model. The record is from RNAcentral.